Molecule: RNA transcript, 2945 nt
Organism: Medicago truncatula (barrel medic)
Lineage: Eukaryota; Viridiplantae; Streptophyta; Magnoliopsida; Fabales; Fabaceae
Gene name: DEAD-box ATP-dependent RNA helicase 20
Exons: 11
Source: RefSeq, a predicted model, not a curated record
AAGAAAACAAUAGUACACUCUAAAGAUAAAAGGCGGUUUUGCAUUGCCAAACACAGCCUUAUAAAAUUGGCGCGUGAGACAUACUCAGAUUCAUUCAAAGACUACAGGGAAGAACCAACUCUACCCUCUCAAAGCCAAAGGCGUGAGUGUUUGUCUAGAAGAACCAAAAUCUAACGAGAUUCUUAUCUUUCAAACCUAUUCCUCACACUUCAAAUCGCGUUUUUUCGUAAACCCUAGAAUCAAUCUCAAAUCAUGAACCCCUACGACAAUAGGUACUCCGAUUCCACUUCUUUUCGCGGCCGUCGCAGUGAUCUCGUUGGACCUAUGCCGCCGCAGAAUUUCGGCCGCGGCGGCCCUGCUCCGUACGGUGCUGCUCCAUAUGCAUCUCAUGCACCGACUGGUUUUGGAUCCGCUCCGGUUACCCCGAUUCCUCACUUUUUACCACCUCCUGGAGGAGGUGGAUUUAGCAUAGGUCGCGGCGGCGGUGGUGGUUUUGGCCCUAGAUUCGGCAACGGUCACGCAAGUGAUAGAAAGUAUGAUUCGGGGCGUGGUGGGAGAGGCGGUGGUAGGGGUGGAGCUCAAGGUUUUAGUGGUGGGAGAGGUCGUGGAGGUGGUGGUGGUAGAGGAGGGAGUGGAGGAAGAGGUGGUGGAUUUGGAGGUAGACAUGGAUCUUCUAAGGAUGAUUUGAACAACAUUACACUUCCAAAGCAAGAUUUUAGAAAUUUGGUUCCUUUUCAGAAAAAUUUCUAUGUUGAAAGUCCUAUGAUACAAGCCAUGUCUGAUCAGCAAGUCAUGCAGUACCGUGCUAGUAGAGAUAUUACAGUUGAAGGGCAUGAUGUGCCAAAACCAAUUCGCGCUUUUCAUGAGGCGAAUUUUCCUGAUUACUGCCUUGACGUUAUUGCCAAGUUGGGUUUUGUUGAGCCUACUCCAAUUCAGGCUCAGGGUUGGCCCAUGGCUCUUACGGGUAGAGAUUUAAUUGGCAUUGCUGAGACUGGCUCGGGUAAAACUUUGUCGUAUCUACUUCCUGCUAUAGUUCAUGUCAGUGCACAACCUCGAUUAGUACAAGGGGAAGGUCCUGUUGUCCUGGUUUUAGCACCAACUAGAGAGUUAGCUGUUCAAAUUCAACAAGAAGCUAUGAAAUUUGGGUCACGAUCAAAUAUUAGAUGUACAUGCAUAUAUGGUGGUGCUCCAAAGGGCCCUCAAAUUCGUGACCUUAGAAUGGGUGUUGAGAUUGUUAUUGCUACACCUGGUCGUCUAAUAGAUAUGUUGGAAGCUCAGCACACAAACCUGCAGAGAGUGACGUACCUUGUCUUGGAUGAAGCUGAUCGAAUGUUGGACAUGGGUUUUGAACCUCAGAUUCGGAAGAUUGUAAACCAGAUUCGACCAGAUAGGCAGACAUUAUACUGGAGUGCAACAUGGCCAAAGGAGGUUGAAUCUCUGGCAAGGCAGUUUCUGCACAACCCAUAUAAGGUAGUUAUUGGGUCACCAUAUCUGAAAGCGAAUCAAUCUAUAAAUCAAGUUGUUGAAGUUGUCACCGACAUGGAGAAAUAUAACAGACUGAUCAAGCUGCUGAAAGAAGUGAUGGAUGGGAGCCGAAUUCUAAUAUUUACAGAAACAAAAAAGGGAUGUGACCAAGUUACUAGACAAUUGAGAAUGGAUGGAUGGCCAGCAUUAUCCAUCCAUGGUGAUAAGAACCAGGCUGAAAGGGAUUGGGUUUUGGCCGAAUUUAAGAGUGGCAGAAGUCCAAUAAUGACUGCCACUGAUGUUGCUGCACGGGGUCUUGGUAGGAUCACUGUGUUUAGAAUCUUAGGAUUUUUGAUAUAAUUCUAGAACUUAACAAUAGGCGAGUUGGCCGGCUGCUUUCCAGUUCCCCUUGACAACAAUUUGUGGUUUGAAUGUGCGUGGGUGGGGGUCAUAUUUUGAGUUUGUUGGAAGUGCCUGUAACUUGACCAGGGGAUUGAUGAGAUGAAAUUGUUUCACUGCUGUCAGUAGACUGCUUGAUGGAGUUAAUUUGGGAACUAUCCUCUUAAAGAUGUCAAGUUAUAUGGAUGCCUAGGCUCUAGGGCAGAGUUCCUUUGAUAUGGCUGGGAUAUUGAUCUCUUCUUUCUGACGUAGUAUCCCAUGUAUGAUCCUGUAUUUCACAGGGCAGGUUAAUGUGUGGCGAUUUACUUGAUUGACAAAACAAGUUAUGGAGCUGGUUAUUUUGCGGUCCGGUUGACUCAUACAUACUUUGUUGAUAAUUGGAUACGGUAGAUGACAGUGAUGGUGAAGCUUCUCCUUAUCCCUUAAAGGUUCAGAUGUGAAGGACAUAAAAUGUGUGGUCAAUUAUGAUUUUCCUUCAAGCCUCGAAGAUUAUGUCCAUAGAAUUGGUCGAACUGGCCGUGCAGGAGCUAAAGGAACUGCAUAUAGUUUUUUUACCAGUGCUAAUGCGAAGUAUGCUAGGGAUUUGAUUAAGAUCUUACAAGAUGCUGGUCAGAUUGUUAGUCCUGCAUUGUCUGCAUUGACUCGGUCUGGUGGUUUUGGUCAACAUGCAUCAAGGGGAGGCUUUCGCUCAAGAGGACGAGGAGGCUAUGGCAAUCGGGGUUCAACAUCAGGAUCCAAUGCCAUUCCUGUAGGCGGGAAGAGGCCAUGGCAGUCUAGGUAGUUGGUGCUAAGUUAGUCAAUUUCUUAAGCUUUGUUUAUUUGGAAGUAGUCACCAGAUACAUACUUUUUAACUAGACACUACAUGUAUUUGCCAGCAUUACAUUUGAAACAACACAUUAGUUGUUAGGUUAUAGGAAGAAAAAAAAGAACCAAUCUUCUAGUGACUGAAGUCAACGAGGAAUGUGCUGUAAAUGAUUGAUGCAUGUAAUUAGUUGGAGUGACCUACAAGGCCUGCUAAUUUUUGAAUUGUUUGUUAUUUACUAUUUACUAUGCCCACCAUUUAAUCAGAUAUUUAACUGACA